UACGUAGGGUGCGAGCGUUGUCCGGAUUUAUUGGGCGUAAAGAGCUCGUAGGCGGCUUGUCGCGUCGACCGUGAAACCUCACAGCUCAACUGUGAGCCUGCGGUCGAUACGGGCAGGCUAGAGUUCGGUAGGGGAGACUGGAAUUCCUGGUGUAGCGGUGAAAUGCGCAGAUAUCAGGAGGAACACCGGUGGCGAAGGCGGGUCUCUGGGCCGAUACUGACGCUGAGGAGCGAAAGCGUGGGGAGCGAACAGG
RNAcentral lists this ribosomal RNA (253 nucleotides) under uncultured bacterium. Its description in RNAcentral is "partial 16S ribosomal RNA". It matches the Rfam family "Bacterial small subunit ribosomal RNA", at positions 524 to 776 of the family's 1533-position model. The record is from RNAcentral.